CACGUAGUUAGCCGGGGCUUCUUACUCAGGUACCGUCAUUUUCUUCCCUGCUGAUAGAGCUUUACGUAGCGAAUUACUUCUUCACUCACGCGGCGUCGCUGCAUCAGGGUUUCCCCCAUUGUGCAAUAUUCCCCACUGCUGCCUCCCGUAGGAGUCUGGGCCGUGUCUCAGUCCCAAUGUGGCCGUCCGCCCUCUCAGGCCGGCUACUGAUCGUCGCCUUGGUGGGCCGUUACCCCGCAACAAGCUAAUCAGACGCGGGUCCAUCUUACACCACCGGAGUUUUUCACACCGCUUCAUGCGAAGCUGUGCGCUUAUGCGGUUUUAGCACCUAUUUCUAAGUGUUAUCCCCCUGUGUAAGGCAGGUUACCCACGCGUUACUCACCCGUCCGCCACUAACCCAUAUAUCACUAGGUUUCAAUAUGGGUCCGUUCGACUUGCAUGUGUUAAGCACGCCGCCAGCGUUCAUCCUGAGCCAGGAUCAAACUCU
RNAcentral lists this ribosomal RNA (487 nucleotides) under uncultured Eubacteriales bacterium. Its description in RNAcentral is "uncultured Clostridiales bacterium partial 16S ribosomal RNA". The record is from RNAcentral. Lineage: Bacteria; Bacillati; Bacillota; Clostridia; Eubacteriales.